UUGUUGGAGAGUUUGAUCCUGGCUCAGGACGAACGCUGGCGGUGCGCCUUAUGCAUGCAAGUCGAGCGAAGCUUUUCAGUAGUUUACUACAGAAAAUGACUGAGCGGCGAACGGGUGAGUAACGCGUGAGCAAUCUACCUUAGUUACUGGGAUAGCCCGAGGAAACUCGGAUUAAUACCGGAUAAUCUUAUUACAUCACAUGAUAUUUUAAGUAAAGGUCAGCCGAACUAAGAUGAGCUCGCGUUCUAUCAGCUAGUUGGUGGGGUAAAAGCCUACCAAGGCUACGACGGAUAGCUGGUCUGAGAGGACGAUCAGCCACACUGGGACUGAGACACGGCCCAGACUCCUACGGGAGGCUGCAGCAGGGAAUAUUGU
Molecule: ribosomal RNA, 375 nt
Filed under: Acidimicrobiales bacterium
Lineage: Bacteria; Bacillati; Actinomycetota; Acidimicrobiia; Acidimicrobiales
Description: bacterial SSU rRNA
Rfam family: Bacterial small subunit ribosomal RNA
Source: RNAcentral